AACGAACGCUGGCGGUAUGCUUAACACAUGCAAGUCGAACGAACAAAAUUGGGGCUUGCUCCAAUUUUAGUGAGUGGCAAACGGGUGAGUAACACGUGGGAAUCUACCUAUCAGUACGGAAUAACAUUUGGAAACAGAUGCUAAUACCGUAUAUUCUCCAAGGGGGAAAGAUUUAUCGCUGAUAGAUGAGCCCGCGUAAGAUUAGGUAGUUGGUAGGGUAAUGGCCUACCAAGCCGACGAUCUUUAGCUGGUCUGAGAGGAUGAUCAGCCACACUGGGACUGAGACACGGCCCAGACUCCUACGGGAGGCAGCAGUGGGGAAUAUUGGACAAUGGGCGAAAGCCUGAUCCAGCAAUACCGCGUGAAUGAUGAAGGCCUUAGGGUUGUAAAGUUCUUUUAGUUGGAAAGAUAAUGACGGUACCAACAGAAAAAGACCCCGGCUAACUCCGUG
RNAcentral lists this ribosomal RNA (451 nucleotides) under uncultured bacterium. RNAcentral's name for it is "bacterial SSU rRNA". It matches the Rfam family "Bacterial small subunit ribosomal RNA", at positions 29 to 507 of the family's 1533-position model. The record is from RNAcentral.